Molecule: non-coding RNA, 560 nt
Organism: Myodes glareolus (Bank vole)
Lineage: Eukaryota; Metazoa; Chordata; Mammalia; Rodentia; Cricetidae
Source: the annotation of a RefSeq genome assembly
GCUCUGGCAGAGGAGAUCAGCCCUGAAUUCCCAAGUCCUCCCAGUCAGGGGUCAGCACUGAACACAGGCCACAUACCAUGGACUUAUGGCUCAUAUUGGUUUUCUCAGUCCUUGUUUUAAAAGGUGUCCAAAGUGAAGUGCAGUUAUUGGAGUCUGGAGGAGGCUUAGUGCAGCCUGGAAAGUCCCUGAAACUCUCCUGUGCAGCCUCUGGAUUCACCUUUAGUGACUAUGGAAUGAACUGGGUCCGCCAGGCUCCAGGGAAGGGGAUGGAGUGGGUCGCAUACAUUAGUAGAAGUAGUAGCGACAUCUAUUAUAGAGACUCUGUGAAGGGCCGGUUCACAGUCUCCAGAGACAAUGCCAAGAACACUCUGUACCUGGAAAUGAGCAGUCUGAAGUCUGAGGACACAGCCACUUAUUACUGUGCAAGAGACACACUGAGUGAAUGCUACUGUGUCCAGUGUGAGGUGCCACUGUUGGAGCCUGAGGGAGACUUAGUACAGCCUUGGAAGUCCCUGAAACUCUCCUAUGCAGACUCUAGAUUCACCUUCAGUGACUACUGA